Molecule: ribosomal RNA, 477 nt
Filed under: Amitermes belli
Lineage: Eukaryota; Metazoa; Arthropoda; Insecta; Blattodea; Termitidae
Description: partial large subunit ribosomal RNA
Rfam family: Bacterial large subunit ribosomal RNA
Source: RNAcentral
GGGCCGCGGUAUUUUGACCGUGCAAAGGUAGCAUAAUCAUUAGUUCUUUAAUUGUGAUCUGGUAUGAAUGGCUUGACGAGACAUAAGCUGUCUUAUGAGUAUUAUUUGUUGAAUUUGGUUUUUGAGUUAAAAUUCUUAGAUGUUUUUAUGGGACGAGAAGACCCUAUAGAGUUUGACAUUUAUUCUUGCUGAUCUGUUAUUGUUUGUUGUUUUGUUUUAGUAGGAUGAAUGUUUUGUUGGGGUGAUGGGAGGAAUUCUUUUAACUCCUCUUUGUUUUUAUAUAUUUAUUUAUAUAUUUUUGAUCCAUGUAUUUUGAUUAUAAGAUUAAAUUACCUUAGGGAUAACAGCGUUAUCUUCCUUGAGAGUUCUUAUUGGCGGGGAGGUUUGCGACCUCGAUGUUGGAUUAAGGUGAAUUUUCGGUGCAGGAGCUGAAGUUGAUUAGGUCUGUUCGACCUUUAAAACCUUACGUGAUCUGAG